GUGGUAAUUAAAUGCGUGCUGUGGUAUUCUGUACGUGCGCCAAUGAGGGAUAACAAUGUGGACGCUCAGAAUUCUGCUGCAGAAACAAAUGAGGAAACAUGAUUGCUUACCUUUAUGACAGUGUUCAUUAGGUUAAAAUGAUGGAAUCACAGUAAGUGUUCCUCCAACUCCUCCUCCUAACCCCAACUCCACCCUGAGUAAACACGGUGCUUGCCCUUUAUAUAUAUUAUUCUUUAACGACCCUAAAGGUAAGUGCAUUAUCCCUAUUUUACAGAUACAGAAGUUGAGGAUUAGAAUGUUCGAUAACUGGAGUAAGUCACGUCACACAGCUCUUAAGUCAGGGAGCCAAGAUUUGAACCCGGGAGUUUUGCCUCUGGGACCUACACGCAUGCACCACUGUACCCCACAAUAUUAUGACUGCACACAUACAAUGCCCAUAGUUUCUCUGACAGCACAUGAUGAAAAUAAGGGCUACUCUAAGUGUGGUCUGCGGACCAAUGUCAUCAGCAAACUGCAGACAGUUAUGAAAAGGAGACCUCCAGUCAUACUCCCAAAAAGGAAGCUUGCCAAGCAGUAUCUCCCGACUUGUGCUGUUCUGCCUGGCACUGGAGGGGCCAAGGCUGUACUUUUCCCCACCGUCUACUCUCUGGAUGCUCUACAGAUCUGCACACAGCCAUCUGGUUGGAUGGAGUAGAGCAGCCGCUGUUCUACCGCAGGUGGAAAUCUAAGAAAGUCUACUGUGUGUCACAUAGUAGGUACUCAAGAAAUUUUAAUGACUACAUUCCAGGAAGCCUUCAUCCAUGACCCUUUUAAAGACCCAGCUCUCCAUUCAAAACCAAGAGUGCCACAAUAAUGAUUCCAGCUGACCCCCACCUAGAUACCUGCUAAGCUUCAGAAUUCAAUGGAAAAGUUCCAGAUCAGUGACAGAGGAAGCAGAUGGGUAGAGAAAUAAUUGUCCCCAUCCACAUGUUACCAUGUAACUAAAAAUACUCAAGGAUUUAA
This is a long non-coding RNA of Suricata suricatta (meerkat), 1002 nucleotides long. RefSeq lists it as uncharacterized. The record is from RefSeq and is a predicted model, not a curated record. NCBI's taxonomy places the organism in Eukaryota, Metazoa, Chordata, Mammalia, Carnivora, Herpestidae. The transcript has 4 exons.